Long non-coding RNA from Pollicipes pollicipes, 482 nucleotides. RefSeq lists it as uncharacterized. Lineage: Eukaryota; Metazoa; Arthropoda; Thecostraca; Pollicipedomorpha; Pollicipedidae. The record is from RefSeq and is a predicted model, not a curated record. The transcript is spliced from 3 exons.
AGAGCGACGGCGGCCGGCUGCGACCGCGGCGGAGGCCUCGGCUCUUGAGCGUGACGCCCCGACGGCGAGGACGGCGGCGACUCGCGUCACUAACGUGACUGACGGACGGCCGUGACGGAGGCGAGGCCCGGUGGUGCCGGCCGCGGGUCAUCGGUCGGGUGGCCGAGGUCAAAGGUCACCGCCUCACACGGAUUACCGGGGGAAUCCCGGAGACCAGCAGCGAUAGAGGACGACCCGUCUGUCAUCACUCACGGGGUCAGCAGACAUGAGAUCAAGACGGGUGCUACUCUUCACAGCAUGUGUGCUUCUUGCUGUCUGCUGCAACGGAGUUCCCCAAUCCGCAAUGAGAAGCACACGACAGGAGCGCGCCAGAGGCCGCGCGAGUGACAUCACGACGUCUCCGUCCAACAGCACCGGCCGCGCCGCCGAACCGGCGGCGGGGAGCCGGGCGGGCCAGUCGCGCGGCCUCUUCAAGGAGCUGG